This 29-nucleotide non-coding RNA is filed under the name Rattus norvegicus (Norway rat). Lineage: Eukaryota; Metazoa; Chordata; Mammalia; Rodentia; Muridae. The record is from RNAcentral.
UUCUACUGAUGGGAGUAAGUACUCUAGUU